CAUAAAUAUGAAAUUAUAGUUUAUCAUCAGACACUACAAAUUGCUCUAUCGUCUCCAUCCUCCACAACAUCUAUCAUUGAUUUAAAUUGCUAGUAUUAUUAGGAGAUAUCUAACAAGAUUUCCACUAAUAGUAACAAAGAGCGAAAUUGUAGACUAAAGAUACACAAGUGCCAUAACGCAACUUAUGAAGAGUUUGCGAGAUCGUCUUUUCUUCCUGCUGCAAAGGUGUGAUAUGUUUUUCUUAUUGGUUUUACUGUUCUAUGUCUAACCUUGUUGUUGUCAUUGUAUUCAAUAGUAUUUACUCAAAACUCAAAACUUCCUAAUCUUUACAUAAACAUGUAAAUAACUAAAACUCGAAUAGAAGAUUAGUUAAACUAUUUAGGUAUUAUUCAAUCAACAAAAUAAUGUAACAACAAAUGGGCUAUUGUGAAUAUAAUAAUACUUGGGCUUGGUGAUGCGCAUGGAUAGUUUGGCCUUCAUCAUUUAAAGCAUUAGCUUUCUAAGUCAACGGGUAGCUUCAAGAGUGUAAGCCUAACUAUCUUUGAUCACACGAUGUGGAAGACUCCAUCCUUCUUUUAUCUUUUCUUGAUGCUCCAACGAUAUCUUAUAUUAGUUUUGACUUUUGUAAAGAGGGGAAUGUGUAUCUAUGGGUAAAAGUAAAACUGUAAAAGAGUCAUGUAACGGCUAGAUCUAGCGGCCCAUGUGUUGCUGAUAUCGCUAGCUUUUCCCAUGGUUUUGCACAUUUGUGAAUGAUGAUGAUAUAGCUUUUUCUGGUG
Arabidopsis thaliana (thale cress) is the source of this 776-nucleotide RNA transcript. RefSeq lists it as uncharacterized. The transcript has a single exon. Lineage: Eukaryota; Viridiplantae; Streptophyta; Magnoliopsida; Brassicales; Brassicaceae. The record is from RefSeq.